AUGUAAUUUAAUUCUUACAACUUUAAUGCACUAGAUCCCAUUAGAAAUAUGUAGGUAAGUGCACUUGGGAUAGAGUAGUACUAGGAUGGGUUACCUCUCAAGAAGUCCUAGUGUUUUACAUG
Molecule: non-coding RNA, 122 nt
Organism: Picea glauca (white spruce)
Lineage: Eukaryota; Viridiplantae; Streptophyta; Pinopsida; Pinales; Pinaceae
Source: Rfam